GAGUUUGAUCCUGGCUCAGAUUGAACGCUGGCGGCAGGCCUAACACAUGCAAGUCGAGCGGUAGCACAGGAGAGCUUGCUCUCUGGGUGACGAGCGGCGGACGGGUGAGUAAUGUCUGGGAAACUGCCUGAUGGAGGGGGAUAACUACUGGAAACGGUAGCUAAUACCGCAUAACGUCUUCGGACCAAAGUGGGGGACCUUCGGGCCUCACGCCAUCAGAUGUGCCCAGAUGGGAUUAGCUAGUAGGUGGGGUAAUGGCUCACCUAGGCAACGAUCCCUAGCUGGUCUGAGAGGAUGACCAGCCACACUGGAACUGAGACACGGUCCAGACUCCUACGGGAGGCAGCAGUGGGGAAUAUUGCACAAUGGGCGCAAGCCUGAUGCAGCCAUGCCGCGUGUGUGAAGAAGGCCUUCGGGUUGUAAAGCACUUUCAGCGAGGAGGAAGGGUUCAGUGUUAAUAGCACUGUUCAUUGACGUACUCGCAGAAUAA
Molecule: ribosomal RNA, 490 nt
Filed under: uncultured Gammaproteobacteria bacterium
Lineage: Bacteria; Pseudomonadati; Pseudomonadota; Gammaproteobacteria
Description: bacterial SSU rRNA
Rfam family: Bacterial small subunit ribosomal RNA
Source: RNAcentral